UAUUUCGCCCUAUAAAUAGCGCAAAGGUUGGCAGGUUGCGUAAUCUUCUGACGUUUGAUCCUUUCCGUCUCCUUCCGGUGUUGUGACCCUGAAGCGCUAUAGCGAGAGAGAUAACCCCCUGAUGCAAGAGUGUGAGCGCGUGGACUGUGUGUAAUAUUAUGCAAGUCGCGGACGCCGUGUUUCGUCUAUAGCAACGAGCCGUAUCACGCAGGGUUUUUAUUCCACUCUAGUAUGCAGUGUUUCUAGUCCACUUUCGGGAUUACGGCAGAGAUCUUCCUCUGUGGAGUUCUAUGCAUAUGGACAUCUGAUGUCUAGGCCCUGCUGUUUUGUUUGAUUUAUUUUUUAUAUAAGUUUUAAGCUGAUGGUCAUAUGCUGAUGUUUGUUUUGAAGUUAUUUUUUUAUCUGUUAUUAUUGAUUUUGUCAGCUGGGUCCUGUUUGUACCAACCGCUAGGGGUCUAUAUGAUGUGUGGAGAAGAGGGGAGUUUUUAACCCAUUUUUCUGUAUUCUAGGAGCCAGCCUGCGUGAGAGCACUUUCCUCUGGGGUCAUCUGGGUCCUUCCUCUACUGCAUGUGGCGUGAGGUUAUUCUGCACUGCAUGGGUAUUGAUUUGAGAGUGUAGAGUUAUUUGUAUUAUUCACUACACCUUUUUACAUUUGUUGGUUGGUGCACGUUAGUGCACGUGAGGUGUGUGUGCUCUUGAGGUUGUGGGUCUUUGGCCCAGUGACUUUUUUUCUUCCCGCAGGCUUGGUUGAUCUUGUAUACAGGAAUUGUGGGUUACAAUUUUUAAUAUUUGACUUGGGAGUCUAGACAUCUUAAAAUUGAGUUUCUCUCUUUUUUUAGAUGGUUAUAAAUGUGAAGUUGAUCGCUUACUCAGAGCUUUUAGUACUGACUGCUAAUAAAGGUGUUGUCCGUGAAGGUCACGUCUCUGUUCUUCAUUCACUAGCUAUAGAACUUGUUUUGCUGUGUUUAAUUAUUUCCGUGGGUAUCUAACCCCGGUGGCGUAGUCGGAAUCAAGUUGAUCAUUGGUUAUCGCCUGGUUACACGUAUUUUAUAUUAUUGAUCAAUAUAUGAAUCCGUUGACCAGGCUACACAUGACACGAGUUCUGGUCUCACUGGCACAAAUUAAUUUAGAUGAGAUUAUAAUCAGAUUAGUUAAAACUCUAUUGAUCCUAGAUUGAUUCCACUCUUGUAUGUCAAGACUUCCAAAGCUUUGUUUGGUCACGUGAUUUUGCAAACGGUAUAUCCUCUGCUCCGCUUUGAUUUGUUAGAUAUGGUGGAGGAAACAAGUCUGACCACCAGAUGUCGCUAAUGCGCAUUGUGUUAAAAGC
This is a long non-coding RNA of Sinocyclocheilus rhinocerous, 1327 nucleotides long. RefSeq lists it as uncharacterized. Lineage: Eukaryota; Metazoa; Chordata; Actinopteri; Cypriniformes; Cyprinidae. The record is from RefSeq and is a predicted model, not a curated record. The transcript is spliced from 3 exons.